This 404-nucleotide ribosomal RNA is filed under the name uncultured bacterium. RNAcentral's name for it is "bacterial SSU rRNA". It matches the Rfam family "Bacterial small subunit ribosomal RNA", at positions 355 to 776 of the family's 1533-position model. The record is from RNAcentral.
UGGGGAAUAUUGGACAAUGGGCGCAAGCCUGAUCCAGCCAUGCCGCGUGAGUGAUGAAGGCCUUCGGGUUGUAAAGCUCUUUUGGCGGGGACGAUGAUGACGGUACCCGCAGAAUAAGCCCCGGCAAACUUCGUGCCAGCAGCCGCGGUAAGACGAAGGGGGCUAGCGUUGUUCGGAAUUACUGGGCGUAAAGGGCGCGUAGGCGGCGCUUUAAGUCAGGCGUGAAAGCCCUGGGCUCAACCUGGGAGUGGCGCUUGAUACUGGAGUGCUAGAGAGUGGGAGAGGUUGGUGGAAUUCCCAGUGUAGAGGUGAAAUUCGUAGAUAUUGGGAAGAACACCGGUGGCGAAGGCGGCCAACUGGACCAUUUCUGACGCUGAGGCGCGAAAGCGUGGGGAGCAAACAGG